CCACCAUGCCUGGCCAGGGAAAUGGAUUUGAGACUGAGCCCCCAUCUUCUAGAAUGUAGCACCCAAUUAAAGCCUUUUUCCUUGGCAGUAUCAUCGUUUCAGUGAUUGGCUUUCUGUGCAGCCAGCAGCAGGACCUAGACUGAACCCUUGGUGUUUCAGUGACAACAUCAGUGUGACUGAUGUCCUCAUGAAACCAGUGGAAUCAGAAUUUCCUAGAAAUCUUUACAAAGCUUUUGCGUUUCUGAUGUUUUAUUCUUUAGCCCAUGGUGGUUUACAUUUGCCUCUUUUAUCAUCUCUUGUAGUCUGAAAAAUUUCUAUUUCUCGUGUUAGUCCUUGAUUGCCUAUUGGAUUAUUUUCUCAUUUACACAGCAGGCCCAGGUUGGAUGAGGGGAAUAUGAUUAAAAGACAAUACAUAUAUUUAAUACUUUCAGAGGAUUUAUACAGGAACAAAAAUCAGAGGAAGACCUACAAGGUGUUCUAAUUUAAAAAUUUUUAAUUCUUCUAAUAAGCAUUUCAUGCUCUUAGCUAACUCUUUACUAUGAAGAAAUGGACUGGGAGCCAACAGAUCUGAGUUCCUGUCCCUGCACUGACAGAUAAUUCAUUUUCAAGGCCUCUGUUUCAUAAGCCGUGAAAUGAGGGAACCAUUUGAUGUAGAGAGUAGCUUCAAAACAGCUGGGAUGAAUAAAGUACUUUAUUACCUGGAGACUUCAAACACAGUCUUUUUGCUGUGGCCCAUAAUUUGACGGUGUCUAAUUGCAUCUAAAAUCCAAGUUUUCUGGGAUGGCAUCUAAGCAUCUUUCUGUUCCAGUCCUGAACUGCCUUUCACAUCACUUCCCACCCAUCUUCUUCUUGGGCCCUGAUCCUUUAUCACAUGCUGUACUCUCGGGACUCCUGACCUUCGCCUCUGCUGUUCCCCCUGCCUAGCACACCACAUCCAUUUCUUUAGAAAUCAAAGGCCCAUCUAUCUCCUUCAAAACUCAAAUCUAGUGCUUCCUCUUGCGUGCAGCUUUUUCUAACCUCAGCAGAAUGAAUUUCCCCCUUCCCUUUGUGCUUUCUCAUAGUGGAACGUUUAUCACAUGGGAUAAUUACUUGUUACAUGUUUUAUUUUCUGUUUAAUACCUCCUAAGUUUUGCCUGAAGCUUGUCCACGUGCUUGGUCACAGAACUGUCCUGGGAAAUACCCCGAUGAAUUAUUUCAAAAGCAACCAAAGUGUCCUAACAUGAUGGUAGCAGGGGAAAAUGAAGGAUCAUCUCAGUGUGACUGAAUGAAAAGCAGUAUCUGGAUCUUCAUAAAUGAUGGAAUUGAUUUGCCACACCAAUUGGUAAAGGCCUGAAGCCAUGGUUAACAGGGUUAUUUUGCUGAAAACUUCAAUCAAGAAACACUGAAAGGACAAGAGUCCCGAUGGCCCUCGAGGCAGAUGAUUGAUUCCUGGGGCUAUGUUGGAAAGUUUGGCAGAGAAGAGACUGAACUAUGCUGUUGGGAAAUCACUUUCACUGCAGUCUGGAAAAUGGAGGGCAGGAGAGGCUACAGCCCUGGGGAAGGGGUGGUGAUGAGUCAGCUAUGAACCAGCCCCUCGGCCGUGCACUGGGAAUGUGCCGGGAGCCUGGAUCUCUUCACUGAAGUCUAGGCUCAAAAAUCUGACUAUCUGAUGUUUCCAUUUGGAUCUCUGAAAGAUGAGGAAAUAGAGGUGCAGAGGCCAGGGAAAAAGGUCAAGAUCACAAUGCUAAUAAAAGUGACUGGAUCUCCAGCAGCCAUUUUUGAUGAUUAGGGAAACUUAAAGAUGGAAGAUGUGCUAAUGAUGGAGAAAUGGCAAGAUGGAAGAGGCCUGGGUCUCUGACGACUAUAGAGCAGCCAAACCUUUGUCUAUGCUGAUCAUGUCUGAAUCCCCAGGAUAUACAACAGUGUCAGUUACCUAAGAGGUGCUCAUGAAUUUUUGAAUGGAUCAAUAAAUAAAUGAUGUGUGUUCACCUGGACCUCCUCCAAAUGGCUGCAGCUGGUUCUGCUCCAUCCUGUAUAUUUGAUGAUCUUUACUUUCCAGUUCUACCAGUAUCUCCUUGAAUGUACUUUUGUGUCUUAAUUUUGAUGCAACUUUGAACUUCUUUACGUCACUGUCCUUUUACCACCUGGAAAACUCUAUCUGCCUGGACUUACACUUUUACUUAAAUGGCAUAUAGUUUUAGAAAAAACAAGGCUUCAUAGGAAGGGCCAUCAUAAUUUUAUUUAUUUCUACAAUGGAAAAAAGUUAGAUACUCUGGACUUUAGAACAAUUUUCAAAUGUACAAAUAAAUUUAUUUUUCAGAAAAAGUGUCUGAUUAGUUUCCAUUUUCUACUGAAAUUCAAAGUAGGAAGAAGAGAUUUAGAGGGCUUUGAAAAUAAGUGCUAACUAUAUCACUUUCAUCUGAUGCUAGAACCAUUUCAUUUGGCUGUAACUUUGGUCCUACCUAUCAGCUACUCUUUCAAUACGGGAGCAAAACCAACAUAACCAAUACAUCUGAUUCUCAAAUGUGUGCCUUGCUUGGUAGACAGAUUACAAAGAAAUGACAUUCAUUGGACAUUUUAUUCAGGAUGUAUCUGAAAUAUUUUAAGUAUGUAGCCAUAGUAAAAAGCAUUAAUAUAUUUAUUCAAGAAGUUGACUAGGCACCUACUACAUGUGAGUCUCUGGGAGUGGGUGCUGGGUUUAGAGUGGUAAAUUAAUCACAUAUGGUCCCUAUCUUCAUGGAUCUUACAGUCUAUUGGAAGACUUAUACAUUAAAUAAUCACACACAGGUACAUUUUAGUUACAAACUGUGAUAAGUACUAUAAGUGAAGAGAACAGGGUGCUAUCAAAGGGAAAAACCAGGGGAAUCUAGUUUAUAUUUGUUCAUCAGAAAAGGCCUCUCUGAUGUUGAAAUUAAGACUUGAAAGACGAGAAAUAUUUAGUGAAGAAAAUGAUUCAGGGAAGUGUAUUCCUGACAAAGGAAAGAAUGUGCAAAUAUGCUAGGCAGAAACAGUUCACGAGCAUUUAAGGAACUCAAAGCAUCCCUGGGGCAUAGAAAGCCAGAAGAAUGCCCGCUGCAGUUAGGCAGGAGACGCAGGCAGGACCAGAUCAUGCAAGGCUCUGGGUACCCUACUGUAUCAGUGGUCUACUGCUGUGUAACAAACCAUCCUAAAA
Molecule: long non-coding RNA, 3151 nt
Organism: Cercocebus atys (sooty mangabey)
Lineage: Eukaryota; Metazoa; Chordata; Mammalia; Primates; Cercopithecidae
Exons: 5
Source: RefSeq, a predicted model, not a curated record